AUAUCCUCCUUAUCAACUUGCAUUCAUUCUCCGAAAACUAGCAUACCAUUCAAGAUGGCUGCAUUAACAACCCUCUUCACCACCAUGCUGAACACCACCUUCUUAAACCGCCACCAACCUGUUGUCACCAGUCUCCGAGCCAACACUGGUAAAUCCCUUUUCGGGCUCAAGUCAUCCGGACGAGGCCGGGUGACUUGCAUGGCUUACAAAGUGAAGCUGAUUACACCAACAGGUGAGCAUGAAUUCGAGUGUCCAAGUGAUGAGUACAUUCUCGACUAUGCUGAAGAGAAGGGAAUCGAUCUUCCCUUCUCUUGCAGAGCAGGGUCAUGCUCUAGUUGUACAGGAAAAGUUGUUUCGGGCUCGGUGGAUCAAUCAGACCAGAGCUUUCUUGAUGAUGAACAGGUGGAUGCGGGUUAUGUUCUCACUUGUGUGGCUUAUCCUAUCUCUGAUGUAACAAUUCAAACCCACAGGGAGGAGGAUCUUUUUUAAAUAUUUAUUCUUAUGUCCUGAUAUCCUUUGUUACACAAUUCAUAAUCUUCUGUUUGGUUUUUGAUUAUUUACUAUGAAAUGUUUCAUCAUAAAAUCAAAAUAUGAUACUCCGUCCAUCCCAAUGAAUUCUUUACAUUGGGAUUGGGUACCGAGACUAAGAAAAAAUAUAUUAAGUGGUAUAAAAUAAUAAGGGAAAGAAAAGUGGAGAAAGUAGUGAAUCCAUCUAUAUUUAAUGGAUAGAUUUGAAAAUGUAGAUGAACGUAGUGAGUGAGAUUGAGUUUUAUAUAAUAUAAAAUUUUACUAUUUUCGGAAUGUUUUGUAAUUUAUAGAAAUGAGUGGGAUGUCAAAAAAAACUGUAAAGAAUCUAAUGGGACGGAGGGAAUACAAUUCAUUUAAAUCUAUAAAUUGAUUUUAAUUCAUUAAAAUUCGGGUGGAUACACCCCUUGAGAGCAGCUCUGUGCCUCUGUUACAAAGGGGGUUUCCCUUUUGUUAUCAGAAAACCAUCUGUUCUGAGUCUAGAAAUCCUUUACUCAAGGCCAGUCCAUUUCAGAAACUUGUUUGCGUUUGCCUGAAGUAAGUUUUUUUCCAUUUCACCCGAAAUCUCUUUCAUUUUUUACAUCGAAUAUAGUUGAGAAUGUAACAAGAGGUUGAAGAGUGGGUAUAGGAGUAGGGCUCACGUCAAAACCCUGCUUAGUGCUUACCCUGCUUGGCUUGCUGUAGGAAUAACAUGUCAGUCACCAAAGUGUUGGUAUCAAGUUUUGAGUUCGGUCACCAACUUGAUUACUAAUCCAAAAUCUGUUGCAGGGUAUUGGUUAAUAAGGCCCUGUCGCGGAUUAAUAAAAUAAAUAUAAAAUACUACUACAAUGAUUAAUAAUCACUAUAAAUAUUAAAAAAUUUCAUAUUGAAUAGAAAAAUAAGUCACAUAAAUAUAAAAACAAGAAACAUGUAAGCCACAUUUUCUGUAAUAAAAGAAGAGCAAGCUACAGAGCAGCUCAUUAGAUGCACAGAAAGAAGAUAGGAUAAGAUUUCCUCUGAGCUGCUCUACUUCCACACUCCCUCUCCACUCCAGUGAAUUAUACCCUCCUUAUCAACUUGCAUUCAUUCUCCGAAAACUAGCAUUCCAUUCAAGAUGGCUGCAUUAACAACCCUCUCCACCACAAUGCUCAGCACCACCUUCUUAAACCGCCACCAACCUGUUGUCACCAGUCUGCGAGCCAACACGGGUAGAUCCCUUUUCGGGCUCAAGUCAUCUGGCCGAGGCCGGGUGACUUGCAUGGCUUACAAAGUGAAGCUGAUUACACCAACAGGUGAGCUUGAAUUCGAGUGUCCAGAAGAUGCAUACAUUCUCGACCAUGCUGAAGAGCAGGGAAUCGAUCUUCCCUACUCUUGCAGAGCAGGGUCAUGCUCUAGUUGUACCGGGAAAGUUGUUUCAGGCACACUGGAUCAAUCAGACCAGAGCUUUCUUGAUGAUGACCAGAUGAAGGCUGGUUAUGUUCUCACUUGUGUGGCUUAUCCUAC
RNAcentral lists this long non-coding RNA (2007 nucleotides) under Daucus carota (carrot). Its description in RNAcentral is "long non-coding RNA (DCAR_LNC006054)". The record is from RNAcentral. Lineage: Eukaryota; Viridiplantae; Streptophyta; Magnoliopsida; Apiales; Apiaceae.